Molecule: long non-coding RNA, 1600 nt
Organism: Pogona vitticeps (central bearded dragon)
Lineage: Eukaryota; Metazoa; Chordata; Lepidosauria; Squamata; Agamidae
Source: Ensembl
UGCUUCUAAAUGAGAAAGCGCUGUGACCUCAGUGUUGAACACUUUAGCCAGCCCACCCCUGCCCCAAGCCUGCUUUUGCUUUCAUUGACUAUCUGAACAUUGCCUGAGAUAGCAGGGAAUUGAGGAGAGAGACUAUUUUAACAAUAACACCAAUUAACCUUUGUAUAUCUUUUCUUAUAGUGCCUCAUCCUGGGUAAACGGGUCAAUAAGAAGACGGGUGACUUCAUUUUCAAGCUUUUAUACAAUAACAACCAGAAGGAGAGGAAGCGAUAGCAGUGCUAAAUUCCUGAGUCUACAGGGUUUUGCAGCCUAAAUUCAGCACCCUUUCUUUUCAGACUCUUGAGUUCUAGGAUGCUUUGAGACAAAGAAGCCAAGGAUCUUUUUGACAUGCUGUCAAGGAUAAAACAAAGCAAGGAAUAACAGAAGUUUAGCCCCUUUUCUUUUAAUACUCAGGAGCCUGGCUAUCACAACUGAAGGCAACAUGGGAGAACAGGGGGAAAGAAUGCUGAAGAGGAAGGACUUGGGGUUGCAAAAUUCAACUUGCAGAUGGAAUAUUACAAACUUCGUUAGACUUCAAAUUCUGUCAGAAGCAUGGGUCCUAUAAUUCUGUCCCUAGCAGAGCUUCGGAAAGUUACUCUUGUAAUGAAUGUACUGCCACCUUCUGCUGUGCAAGACCAUGCAGAUCAGAUAACUGCAGAACCACCAAGCAGCCUUUAAUUUCAUCAUUCUGCAGUUUUUGGAGGACAUGGGUUCAGCCUGAGAGUCAGAGUUCAGAAGCUGACACAACCCUGGAGGAUACACAACAACUUCAUGGCUGAGGUAGGCAAAAAGGCCAGUCUCCGUGUCAAAAAUGCAAGGCAGCCCUUCCUUCAGAUGUGACUUAUCUCAAGCAGCAGGCAACAGAGAUUCAUAAAAGGCAGACCAAGUCUGACACAUCCGCUUGAGAUCCUCUAAAUGCCUUCCUGAAUUAGGAGACAAUGGAGAAGUUGUGCAAGAUGUCUAUCUAACUUUCCCAGGGCAUAACAAAGAAAGGAGGAGACAAAAAAAGAAGAUGGAUCAGCAGAGUCAGUGAGCAUGACAGCAGGAGAAAGCUUCUGGAAUGGAUUAAAGAUUGGAGCUUAGUAACUGAUAGGAGGCAGUGGAUAGUGGUAGAAGAUAAGAGCAGAAAGAAUGUCUAAAGGCACCAAGCUAAGAAACACGUUACUUUAGCUAGAAAUGAAUAUAGGAAGAGUAUUGGUACAAUGAACUGUGCAUCUGGAGGCUUGAUUAAUAUGAAGGAAGCAAGGCAGCUAUUAUAUGCAAAGUGGAUAAAAAAGGGGAAACUAAGAUUCUUAGUUCUUUAAGAUUAAGAACUUUAAAUAUAAAAGUCCCUCUUGACUAUGAGUGCCCUUCUUUGGUAGGAAAGCAUCAUACAAAUCCAAUCAGCCAGUCUAUCAGUCAAUCAAUAAUCAGUGAAAAAAAAAUCACAAAUUUCCAAAGAAACUCAAAAUGUAAGAUGAGAUGAGGCAAUCUAUUUCUUAGGAACAACUGCAGUGCCACAGAAUAAUCACUGUGUUAUGGCAUUCUAGGAAGAAAGACUGCUGGGGUGAGAGUGUUUAUA